CAGAAGCGUAUAUUUAAAUUGUUGCUGUUAAAAAGCUCGUAGUUGGAUUUCUGGUGUGGUGCGGUUGGUCCGUCGCCGAUAGGCGGUCGAGUACCGAUGUUGCGCCUACCAUCCCUUCUGGAGAGGCCCUUGCACUUUACUGUGCGGGGGAACAACCGAUCCAGAUCGUUUACUUUGAAAAAUUAGAGUGUUUAAAGCAGGCGUUAGCCACUGAAUACAUUAGCAUGGAAUAAUGAGAUAGGACUUUGGCCCUAUUUUGUUGGUUUCUAGGACUGAAGUAAUGAUUGAUAGGGACAGUUGGGGGUGCUAGUAUUUAACGGCCAGAGGUGAAAUUCAUGGAUUCGUUAAAGACUAACUAAUGCGAAAGCAUUCACCAAGGAUGUCUUCUUUAAUCAAGAACGAAAGUUGGGGGAUCGAAGAUGAUCAGAUACCAU
RNAcentral lists this ribosomal RNA (434 nucleotides) under uncultured eukaryote. RNAcentral's name for it is "bacterial SSU rRNA". It matches the Rfam family "Eukaryotic small subunit ribosomal RNA", at positions 592 to 1018 of the family's 1831-position model. The record is from RNAcentral.